GAUGAGAACGCAGUGAAAUGCGAUAAUUAAUGUGAAUUGCAGAAUUCAGUGAAUCAUCGAGUCUUUGAACGCACAUUGCGCCCCCUGGUAUUCCGGGGGGCAUGCCUGUCCGAGCGUCAUUGCUGCCCUCAAGCACGGCUUGUGUGUUGGGCUUCCGUCCCUGGCAACGGGGACGGGCCCAAAAGGCAGUGGCGGCACCAUGUCUGGUCCUCGAGCGUAUGGGGCUUUGUCACCCGCUCCCGUAGGUCCAGCUGGCAGCUAGCCUCGCAACCAAUCUUUUUAACCAGGUUGACCUCGGAUCAGGUAGGGAUACCCGCUGAACUUAAGCAUAUCAAUAAGCGGAGGA
RNAcentral lists this unclassified non-coding RNA (346 nucleotides) under soil metagenome. RNAcentral describes it as "partial contains 5.8S ribosomal RNA, internal transcribed spacer 2, and large subunit ribosomal RNA". The stretch from base 5 to 119 matches the Rfam family "5.8S ribosomal RNA", at positions 40 to 154 of the family's 154-position model. The record is from RNAcentral.